Molecule: microRNA precursor, 84 nt
Filed under: Branchiostoma floridae (Florida lancelet)
Lineage: Eukaryota; Metazoa; Chordata; Leptocardii; Amphioxiformes; Branchiostomatidae
Description: mir-2060 microRNA precursor family
Rfam family: mir-2060 microRNA precursor family
Source: Rfam by way of RNAcentral
GUGUGGAUGGUGUUCAGCACUAAGGACAGGUGUGUUUGCCUGUGUGUGGAUGGUGUUCAGCACCAAGGACAGGUGUGUUUGCCU